UUGUCGUAUUUUCCCACUUGCUUAAGGUGGUAUGGGAGUCUAAAAUAAAAAUGAUAGAAUUUGUUCAUACUUUGCCAAAAUGUAGUAUCUAUUGAUAUAUGUCAAAAAAUAUAAUAAAAAUGAUAGGUCACCGCGCAUUUUCUCAAGCUACAGGGCGUGACAAAAUGACAUUUUUUUGUAUGGAUUAUACAGGAAAAAACACCAUUUUGUGAUUAGAACCUAAACAAAAUGAUAGAAUUGUUAAAUACUUAAGGAAAAGAUAGCUUUCAGACAAUGCUUUGAGAAUAUCAAAAGAAAAGAUAGAGUCACCGUACGUUUUUUCCCGCUAAAAUACAAAAUAGGAAAAUUCCAUGUAGAAUCCUUCAGAAAAUGCACUGUUUUAGAGUUACCUCCCCUUAAAAUGCCAUUUUAUUUAUUUUUUAAAAACAACCAAAAGUAAUCAAAAUUUGCAAAAAUAUUAAUAUUGAUAAGUUAUAUUCUUAUAAAUUGUUUUUUUUAAGUGAAAAUUCACAUUAAAUAUCUGCAUUCCUGCAUCAAAUUUUGCUCUCUCGAUAAAAAAUCUGGACCUUUGGUUCUCUGUUUUGUACAAUCCAAGAUGGAGGAAGACACCCAUACCACCUUAAGACAAGUCAUUUGUCGAAAAUGUACUGCAUUGUUUUCCAUUUGCACAAAACUUGCCAUAGAUUUGUAAACAACAUAAAUCCGCCAUAGAUUAGUAAAUUACAAAACUUGCCAUAGAUUUGGGAUGACAUGACGUCACAUUUACCAUAGAUUAGGAAUCUGCCAUAGAUUUGGAACCCACCAUAGAU
Molecule: long non-coding RNA, 809 nt
Filed under: Mytilus galloprovincialis (Mediterranean mussel)
Lineage: Eukaryota; Metazoa; Mollusca; Bivalvia; Mytilida; Mytilidae
Source: RNAcentral